ACAGGCUUACCAAGUUCGACAGCUUAAGGGUCAUGGUUGUGUGCAGACUAUGCAGUCAGCUGCCCAAGGACACAUCCCCAGUUCACUGAAAGAGUUAGAUGUGAGUUGCCAUGGCAACGAGGAGCUCAAACAGCAGUAAGAAAAGUUAGUGGAAGCCAUUCCGAAAAGGCGAGUACAUACUGACUAAACCAAGGUUUGGUUCAUGCUUAUCUAGAACUUCAUAGAUGCAAUGGUGGAUUAUUCACUGCACAUGAAGCGAUCCAGGUUAUGGACCAGUCAACCUGCAAAAAGAACGAAGGAUUUGGACCAUUCUGCAAUGGAUCUCAAGUUGGCCGACGAUGUGCAAGGCAAGGAAGCUGUAUGCAUCUGCCAUUUAUCUUGAACCUGAAAUUCUAAGAGCUGAACUGGCAAGAGGUGAUAUGCGUUUGGUGAAUCCUGGAUUAAGCAAGCAAUUUUGCUGCUUGAAAGAUAUUAGAGGCAAUAGGCAGAUGAUUCUCCACUCAUCAAGUUAGCUAAAGUAUUUUCAGCAACAAAUCUGUUCUCCCAAUAUCAAUCUGCACUAAGUGCAGGUUAAGGAAUAACUGAAGACAAGAAUGAUGGCAUGAGCAAUGGUAUAAAUUUUUCUCGCUUUAUUCAAAUGCUAGUUUACCUGAGAUCGUGCACAUAAUUUAUUUGUUCGCAUUCUAGCCCUCAUAGGUUUAGAUUAUUAUUUUGUCCCACCAGAGCCAUACGCAACAAAAACUGAACCAUCACUGUGCAAUCUGAAUAUUUAGUGAGUGUUGUUAAUUAUGUAUCCAUCUAGUCAGAAGCUCUUGAAAGCCAGUCACUCUUUUUCUAUCCUUGGAUUGCUACCCUCUGACACUUGUCAUCACAAUUCAUGCAUUGCAAUCUCGCAUAAGCCGCUUGUACCCAUUCUGUCGCCGGUGUAUCCAUUCUCUUUGUAUAAGCCACUUCAUUCUUUUGUGCAUCAGUUCAACCUAUUAUAUAAGGUUUGCACAUUUGUUAUUCUCCGAUAAAACUCAAUGGGAGAGUUCAUUUUAUGGUUCUCCAGUCCUUUGGAAACAGAGUCAUCCAAUAAUUUAAAGCUCUUGAAAGCCAAACAUUUCUUUUGUAUCAUUCCAUUGACUCCUUGGAUCUUGCAGACUCCAUUGAUGUAUCCAUUAGACUAUUACGUAGAGUUUACAUACUGUUCCUCUUUGAUAUAUUCA
Molecule: long non-coding RNA, 1208 nt
Organism: Lolium rigidum
Lineage: Eukaryota; Viridiplantae; Streptophyta; Magnoliopsida; Poales; Poaceae
Exons: 4
Source: RefSeq, a predicted model, not a curated record